This 301-nucleotide ribosomal RNA is filed under the name uncultured bacterium. RNAcentral's name for it is "partial 16S ribosomal RNA". It matches the Rfam family "Bacterial small subunit ribosomal RNA", at positions 509 to 807 of the family's 1533-position model. The record is from RNAcentral.
CAGUCGCCGCGGUAAUACAGAGGGUGCGAGCGUUAAUCGGAUUUACUGGGCGUAAAGCGUGCGUAGGCGGCUUCUUGAGUCGGAUGUGAAAUCCCUGAGCUUAACUUAGGAAUUGCAUUCGAUACUGGGAAGCUAGAGUAUGGGAGAGGAUGGUAGAAUUCCAGGUGUAGCGGUGAAAUGCGUAGAGAUCUGGAGGAAUACCGAUGGCGAAGGCAGCCAUCUGGCCUAAUACUGACGCUGAGGUACGAAAGCAUGGGGAGCAAACAGGAUUAGAUACCCCCGUAGUCCCUGUCUCUUAUAC